RNAcentral lists this ribosomal RNA (214 nucleotides) under Escherichia coli. RNAcentral's name for it is "partial 16S ribosomal RNA". It matches the Rfam family "Bacterial small subunit ribosomal RNA", at positions 1 to 226 of the family's 1533-position model. Lineage: Bacteria; Pseudomonadati; Pseudomonadota; Gammaproteobacteria; Enterobacterales; Enterobacteriaceae. The record is from RNAcentral.
AAAUUGAAGAGUUUGAUCAUGGCUCAGAUUGAACGCUGGCGGCAGGCCUAACACAUGCAAGUCGAACGGUAACAGAAAGCAGCUUGCUGCUUUGCUGACGAGUGGCGGACGGGUGAGUAAUGUCUGGGAAACUGCCCGAUGGAGGGGGAUAACUACUGGAAACGGUAGCUAAUACCGCAUAACGUCGCAAGACCAAAGAGGGGGACCUUCGGGC